This 248-nucleotide ribosomal RNA is filed under the name uncultured bacterium. RNAcentral describes it as "partial 16S ribosomal RNA". It matches the Rfam family "Bacterial small subunit ribosomal RNA", at positions 796 to 1041 of the family's 1533-position model. The record is from RNAcentral.
CUGGCUGUAAACGAUGGGUACUAGGCGUCGGGGGUAUCGACCCCCUCGGUGCCGCAGCUAACGCGUUAAGUACCCCGCCUGGGGACUACGGCCGCAAGGUUGAAACUCAAAGGAAUUGACGGGGGCCCGCACAAGCGGUGGAGCAUGUUGCUUAAUUCGAUGCAACGCGAAGAACCUUAUCCAGGCUUUGACAUCCUGCGAAUUUCCUAGAAAUAGGGAAGUGCCUUCGGGAGCGCAGAGACAGGUGG